AGCGAAGCAGUUAAGUUGAUUUCUUCGGAUUGAUUCUUAACUGACUGAGCGGCGGACGGGUGAGUAACGCGUGGGUGACCUGCCCCAUACCGGGGGAUAACAGCUGGAAACGGCUGCUAAUACCGCAUAAGCGCACAGAGCUGCAUGGCUCGGUGUGAAAAACUCCGGUGGUAUGGGAUGGGCCCGCGUCUGAUUAGGCAGUUGGCGGGGUAACGGCCCACCAAACCGACGAUCAGUAGUCGGCCUGAGAGGGCGACCGGCCACAUUGGGACUGAGACACGGCCCAAACUCCUACGGGAGGCAGCAGUGGGGAAUAUUGCACAAUGGGGGAAACCCUGAUGCAGCGACGCCGCGUGAGCGAAGAAGUAUUUCGGUAUGUAAAGCUCUAUCAGCAGGGAAGAUAAUGACGGUACCUGACUAAGAAGCCCCGGCUAACUACGUGCCAGCAGCCGCGGUAAUACGUAGGGGGCAAGCGUUAUCCGGAUUUACUGGGUGUAAAGGGAGCGUAGACGGCAAGGCAAGUCUGAUGUGAAAACCCAGGGCUUAACCCUGGGACUGCAUUGGAAACUGUCUGGCUCGAGUGCCGGAGAGGUAAGCGGAAUUCCUAGUGUAGCGGUGAAAUGCGUAGAUAU
RNAcentral lists this ribosomal RNA (632 nucleotides) under uncultured Lachnospiraceae bacterium. RNAcentral's name for it is "bacterial SSU rRNA". It matches the Rfam family "Bacterial small subunit ribosomal RNA", at positions 50 to 697 of the family's 1533-position model. Lineage: Bacteria; Bacillati; Bacillota; Clostridia; Lachnospirales; Lachnospiraceae. The record is from RNAcentral.